AUUGAACGCUGGCGGCAAGCCUAACACAUGCAAGUAGAACGAGUGGCGGACGGGUGAGUAAUGUCUGGGAAACUGGCUGAUGGAGGGGGAUAACUACUGGAAACCGUAGCUAAUACCGCAUACCAUCGGAUGUGCCCAGAUGGGAUUAGCUAGUAGGUGGGGUAAUGGCUCACCGAGGCGACGAUCCCUAGCUGGUCUGAGAGGAUGACCAGCACCACUGGAACUGAGACCCGGUCCAGGUUCCUACGGGAGGUAGCAGUGGGGAAUAUUGCACAAGGGGGGCAAGCCUGAUGCAUCCAUGCCGCGUGUAUGAAGAAGGCCGUCGGGUUGUACAGUACUUUCAGCGGAGAGGCGUUACCCGCAGAAGAAGCACCGGCUAACUCCGUGCCAGCCGCCGCGGUAAUUC
Molecule: ribosomal RNA, 406 nt
Filed under: uncultured bacterium
Lineage: Bacteria
Description: partial 16S ribosomal RNA
Rfam family: Bacterial small subunit ribosomal RNA
Source: RNAcentral